RNAcentral lists this long non-coding RNA (2116 nucleotides) under Coturnix japonica (Japanese quail). RNAcentral's name for it is "lncRNA (ENSCJPG00005002794.1)". Lineage: Eukaryota; Metazoa; Chordata; Aves; Galliformes; Phasianidae. The record is from RNAcentral.
GGACUGGAAUGUACCAGUAUGCCCCAGUAUAACCCAGUAUGGACCAGUAUGGACCAGUAUGGACCAGUAUAGCUCAGUAUGGACCAAUAUGGCCCAGUAUGGACCAGUAUAGCUCAGUAUGGACCAGUAUAGCCCAGUAUGGCCCAGUAUGACCCAGUAUGACCAGUAUGAACCAUAUAGCCCAGUAUAGUCCAGUAUGGAACAGUAUGGAACAGUAUGGCCCAGUAUAACCCUGUAUGGGCCAGUAUGAACCAGUCCCCUCCCAGAAUGGACUAGUAUAGACCAGUAUAACCCAGUAUGGACCAGUAUGACCCAGUAAGGACCAAUAUGGACCAGUAUGGACCAGUAUGGACCAGUCCCCUCCCAGUAUAACCCAGUAUGGACCAGUAUGGCCCAGUAUAACCCAGUAUGGACCCAGUAUAACCCAAUAUGGACCAGUAUAACCCAGUAUGGACCAGUCCCCUCCCAGAAUGGACCAGUAUAGACCAGUAUAACCCAGUAUGGACCAGUAUGACCCAGUAUGGACCAGUAUGGGCUGAACUGGGCUGAAAACUUCCCCCUUUGUUUUAUUCGCCUGUAAAACAACAAGAGGAGAAACAACGCGACCCCCAAGUCCUCCAAGCGACCCCCAAGUAAGUCCUCCAAGCAACCCAUAAGUCCUCCAAGCAACCCAUAAGUCCUCCAAGACCUCUAUGAUCACCAUCGUAGUCCUCCAUGGCAUCUCUAUGGUCCUCCAAGCACUCUAUGGUCACAGCUGAGGUCCUCCAAGUUUCACUGGGGUCCUCCAAGGCCUCACUUGGGUCCUCCAACAACUCUAUGAUCAUCGAGGUCCUCCAAGGCAUCUCUAUGGUCCUCCAAGGUGUCGCUGGGGUCCUCCAACAACUCUGUGAUCAUCGAGGUCCUCCAAGGUGUCGCUGGGGUCCUCCAACAACUGUAUGGUCACCAUCGCUGUCCUCCAAGGCCUCACUUGGGUCCUCCAACAACUCUAUGGUCACCAUCAAGGUCCUCCAAGGUGCCAUCGGGGUCCUCCAUCAACUCUAUGAUCACCAUCAAUGUCCUCCAAGGCAUCUCUAUGGUCCUCCAAGGCAUCUCUAUGGUCCUCCAAGAACUCUAUGAUCCUUACGGUCCUCCAAGGCUUCACUUGGGUCCUCCAACAACUCUAUGAUCAAUGGGGAGGACCAUUGGGGAGGGAGAUGGGGACAUAGGGACCAAUGGGGUGGGGGACGGGAACAUACAGACCAAUGGGGUUGGAGAUGGGGAUAUAGGGACCAAUGGGGUGGGGAGAUGGUGUGGGGAUCCCCAAGCAGCCAAUCAGGAGGCCACGUAUGUCUCUGGGAUGGGGAAUAGGGACCAAUGGGGGGCGAGCUGAUCACGGAGGGGCCCAAUAGGAGCCAAUAGGGGCCCAAUAGGAACCAAUAGGGACCCAAUAGGGUUGGGAGGACCCAAUAGGAACCAAUAGGGGCCCAAUAGAACCCAGUAGGGGCCCAAUAGAAGCCAAGAGGGGAUGGGAGGAGCCAAUAGGAGCCCAAUAGAAGUCAGUAGGGACACAAUAGGAACCAAUAGGGGCCCAAUAGAGGCCAAUAGGGUUGGGAGGACCCAAUAGGAGCCAAUAGAAGCUAAUAGGGGAUGGGAGGACCCAAUAGGAGCCAAUAGAAGCCAAUAGGGGAUGGGAGGAUCCAAUAGGAGCCAAUACAAGCCAAUAGGGGAUGGGAGGAGCCAAUAGGAGCCCAAUAGAACCCAGUAGAGGUCCAAUAGGAACCAAUAGGGGCCCAAUAGGAACCAAUAGGGGCCCAAUAGGAGCCAGUAGGGACCCAAUAGAGGCCAAUAGGGAUGGGAGGAGCCAAUAGGAGCCCAAUAGAACCCAGUAGGGGCCCAAUAGGAGCCAAUAGGGGCCCAAUAGAGGCCAAUAGGGGAUGGGAGCACCCCAAUAGAAGCCAAUAGGGGAUGGGAGGACACAAUAGAAGCCAAUAAGGGCCCAAUAGAGGCUAUAGGGUUGGGAGGACCCAAUAGACGUCAAGUUGAUUAUGUUGAGAACCAAUAGGAGCCAUAGGGAUGGGAGGACCCCAAUAGGGAUGGGAGGACCCCAAUAGAAGCCAAUAGGGGAUGGGAGGACCCU